CAGCAGCCGCGGUAAUACGAAGGGGGCUAGCGUUGUUCGGAUUUACUGGGCGUAAAGGGCGCGUAGGCGGGCGAAUAAGUCAGGGGUGAAAUCCCAAGGCUCAACCUUGGAACUGCCUUUGAUACUGUUUGUCUUGAGUUCAAGAGAGGUAAUUGGAACUGCGAGUGUAGAGGUGAAAUUCGUAGAUAUUCGCAAGAACACCAGUGGCGAAGGCGGCUUACUGGCUCGAAACUGACGCUGAGGCGCGAAAGCGUGGGGAGCAAACAGGAUUAGAUACCCCCGUAGUCCCUGUCUCUUAUAC
RNAcentral lists this ribosomal RNA (301 nucleotides) under uncultured bacterium. RNAcentral's name for it is "partial 16S ribosomal RNA". It matches the Rfam family "Bacterial small subunit ribosomal RNA", at positions 509 to 807 of the family's 1533-position model. The record is from RNAcentral.